UACAGAGGUCUCAAGCGUUGUUCGGAUUCAUUGGGCGUAAAGGGUGUGUAGGUGGCCCGCUAAGUCACACGUGAAAUCCCUCAGCUUAACUGGGGAACUGCGUGUGAGACUGGCAGGCUCGAGGGCAGGAGAGGAACGCGGAAUUCCAGGUGUAGCGGUGAAAUGCGUAGAUAUCUGGAGGAACACCGGUGGCGAAGGCGGCGUUCUGGACUGUCUCUGACACUGAAGAACGAAAGCCAGGGGAGCAAACGGG
This 253-nucleotide ribosomal RNA is filed under the name uncultured bacterium. RNAcentral describes it as "partial 16S ribosomal RNA". It matches the Rfam family "Bacterial small subunit ribosomal RNA", at positions 524 to 776 of the family's 1533-position model. The record is from RNAcentral.